AGAUAGCAGUGGUGGGAACCGUCCUCUGGUUUCAGUUCAGCUCUUCAGAAACCUACGGUGAUGGUGCGGAAGGUUGUUCCAUUAUUUAUACAGGUGAUGGUGUUAGCGAGUUUUGAAACUGUUCAGAGCCAGGGAACAAAGGACUGUCAAAAAUAGAAGGAAAAAAAAAAACAUUAAUGUACAUUAAAAAAGGAAUGGGUCGAUGUGAUAACGGGUAACGCCAUUUCAUUAGGAGUGUUUCCAUUGUCAGAACUUCAGGAUCAGUUCUGGGAGGGGGAGACUGACCAGGAGAUAUGACGGCUCAGUCCUCUCAGCUGUUGUGUGCUCAUACAAAUUCAGUCCUUUCAGGACUUUGCACAGACAUCAGCACAUUGCAACAGCUUCAGCAGUGAGCGAUGUCACUGAUCAGUGCCAAAAUGCGUAAAUAAAGUCAUUUCCCACUGAAUUACAACCAAUUAGCAAAAGUUCUGCUUUGCUGCUCAUCGUGCCAUGAUCAGGUACUCUGAAAGUUCCUGUAAAUGGCCUGGAAAACUGCCAGUUUGACCAACCCAGUGAAGUGGAGACACGCAUGCUGGCCCGGGACACAGUCCCAGUGGAAGCACGCCUAUUAGUGUUAAAGAGCAAGUCAAAUCAAAAUCAACUUAUUUUAGCUGAUAACUAGUAUAAAUGAGUGUCUAACAGUGUUGUAGACAUGUGUAGUUAUUAUUUUUGCAUUUUGAUGCAUUUUCUUUGAAAACUCUAAAUUCUGUUUACAAACGCCAGUCUAGCGCCAUCUUCAGCUCAAAAGUAUAGAACACGUUUAUUUUGAGUCGAUUUUAGCCAAUGGCUAACAAGAACAAUGCUACGUAUUUCAGAAAAGUACUACGUAGCAGCUCUGUGGCUGUAGGUUAUAAAAGCACCGCGGUCUCAACCAGCCUUGUAGCAGUCGGGGCUCGUAAGUGAGUUGUGCUAUAGUUAGCAUUAGCAUCGUGUCAGAGUCCCAGCAAAACUUUUAAUAUUAAAAUUAUUUAGUUCGAGUAGCUUGGCUGUUAGAUUUUGUAGUUUAGUAUUUUUUACAUCAGACUCUUUCACCUACUUGGUGGAGCUUGAACCGGUUAAGCUGGUUUGAAGAGCAUUUCACAAAUUAGUCCAAGCCGUUCCAGUAAUUACCAGGUGUUCUGAACUGGUGCUGAGUCCGGUUAUCAUUAGAACAUGUCUGAUUCUGGACACUGAGUUAUCUCUGAGAGCAGUCAGAUCACCCACCAGCCGUGUUAUAAAGCACAUAUAUUAGACAGUUUGUUUUGUACACGAUCUAAGUUACUAAACUCCCACAACAAGCUGAUGUUAUUAUAUUUUUCAAGCUAAAUCUGCCCAAGACGGAUUUAGUCCUCCUGCCUGCACCGGUCCAGGCUAGAGCCUUGCAGGUGAAUUAUUUCACCAUCUCUCUUUCUUUACCUUCUAGUUUUAACAUGUAAUUAUUUUAGCUUAUUGUUAAACGUGUGUUGCUGCUCUUAAAAACAACUAUAAUUAUAUUUGCUGUUUCUAUAUAUUUCACAUAGCCUCCCAGCAGCUGUGUGCCUGACGCUGGGACCAUGAUGGGAAUUCCACCCAGAGCAGCUUCUACACUCCUGAACAAACCCAGGUGUGGUGGAGAGCUUCUGAGCAGCGUCCAUCUGAAUGACAGGACAAGCUCUAUGAACUGAUCCAGGUAAAAACAUUCUAAAUAAUAAUAUUGUACUCUGUUUUCUGUUUUUUUCCUACGUCUCAGCCUGGCUGCUCACCACUGGAGAGGAGUAUCUUCCCAGACUCACAUCAACAUCCCAUUUUACCUCGGGGCCUCCUGAUCUAACAGAAAAACCUGUAGCUCCAUCCUAGCUCUGCUUUCCACAUGUUUCUCAUCAUCUCUGGAAGCUACCAGCUACUGUGAUGUUAUGUGUACAGUUUUUUUUUCAGGCUAAAUGAACCCAAGUAAUCUGCUGUCAGACUGUGUAGUAAAGCUUAUUGCUACACGUGUGUUGCUGCUGCGAGCUUGGAGCUAGAUUAGAUCAUGACAUCAUGAAGGAGACUACUGAUUCUGGUCCUGUGACACCUGGUGACGUGUGAGCUGAUUCACCUGGACACUCAGCAAAAUAUGGACUUUACACCAUGAGGCAGGCACAUGUUAAUACUCUAUAAGAGCACAUAAGCAUGAGGAUGUCCUCACACACCUGUAACCUAUCAGCUCAUCUGGCAGAAUAGAGAGAGAAGAGACAACACCACAUCUCCUGUUCCCGGAAAGCCUUCAGCCAUCCUUCGAUGACUGAGAACCUCCAUCAGCUCUGUCUCCUGUCUGCCUACAAUUAUUAUAAUAAAUAUUGUGUUUGACAAGUUUUUUGUGCAGCCAAAUGUCUCAUUUUGAUUCCAGUUUUGAUAUUUUAAUGGAUAUUUAUAAAUUACAUUAAUUGAAUUAUCACAUUGUUGCAUGUUUAACUAGCUCUAUUGUGAUGAAUUAAACUAGCACCUCACUGUUAAAAGCUCGUUUUAAUUUCAAGCAUGUUUAAGUAUUUAUGGACAUGAACAAAAACAGGAAAUAUGUAAAUUGAGAUUUAUUUAAUUAAUAUAACAAAUAACUGUUUAGAGGAAGAAAGAGUCAUUGAAAGGCACAUUCUUCUGAAAGCUCCUGAUCCUGACUACACCACCAGAGGAGACCACCUGCAGACACCAGAGGAUCACCUACGACCAAGAGAGCAGCUGGUAUCAGUAAAUAAAUAAUGAAAUCAGGGCA
Nothobranchius furzeri (turquoise killifish) is the source of this 2743-nucleotide non-coding RNA. NCBI's taxonomy places the organism in Eukaryota, Metazoa, Chordata, Actinopteri, Cyprinodontiformes, Nothobranchiidae. The record is from RefSeq and is a predicted model, not a curated record.